This is an unclassified non-coding RNA of Pongo abelii (Sumatran orangutan), 148 nucleotides long. It matches the Rfam family "Metazoan signal recognition particle RNA". Rfam says of the family: The signal recognition particle (SRP) is a universally conserved ribonucleoprotein. It is involved in the co-translational targeting of proteins to membranes. NCBI's taxonomy places the organism in Eukaryota, Metazoa, Chordata, Mammalia, Primates, Hominidae. The record is from Ensembl.
GCCGGGCAUGGUGGCGGGCGCCUGUAGUCCCAGCUACUCGGGAGGCUGAGGCAGGAGAAUCACUUGAACCCAGGAGGUGGAGGUCACAGUGGGCUGAGAUUGUGCCACUGCACUCCAGCCUGGGUGAAAGAGUGAGAUUCUGUCUCAA